RNAcentral lists this ribosomal RNA (486 nucleotides) under uncultured bacterium. RNAcentral's name for it is "partial 16S ribosomal RNA". It matches the Rfam family "Bacterial small subunit ribosomal RNA", at positions 899 to 1397 of the family's 1533-position model. The record is from RNAcentral.
ACUCAAAGGAAUUGACGGGGGCCCGCACAAGCAGCGGAGCGUGCGGUUCAAUUCGAUGGUACGCGAAAAACCUUACCCAGGCUUGACAUGCAUGUGGUAGCGAUCCGAAAGGUGAGCGACCCGCAAGGGAGCAUGCACAGGUGUUGCACGGCCGUCGUCAGCUCGUGUCGUGAGAUGUUGGGUUAAGUCCCGCAACGAGCGCAACCCUCUGGGUCUGUUGUAUCCCUCAGGCCCGACUGCCGAGAGAAACUCGGAGGAAGGUGGGGAUGACGUCAGGUCAGCGUGGCCCUUACGCCUGGGGCUACACGCACGCUACAAUGGUCGGUCACAACGAGUCGCGACAUCGCGAGAUGAAGCUAAUCUCUCAAAACCGACCUCAGUUCAGAUGGGAGGCUGCAACUCGCCUCCCUGAAGUCGGAGUUGCUAGUAACCGGGGGACAGCACACCCCGGUGAAUAUGUUCCCGGGCCUUGUACACACCGCCCGU